RNAcentral lists this ribosomal RNA (403 nucleotides) under Paracoccus sp. SA_04. Its description in RNAcentral is "bacterial SSU rRNA". It matches the Rfam family "Bacterial small subunit ribosomal RNA", at positions 60 to 509 of the family's 1533-position model. The record is from RNAcentral. Lineage: Bacteria; Pseudomonadati; Pseudomonadota; Alphaproteobacteria; Rhodobacterales; Paracoccaceae.
AGUCGAGCGAGAUCUUCGGGUCUAGCGGCGGACGGGUGAGUAACGCGUGGGAAUAUGCCCUUCUCUACGGAAUAGCCCUGGGAAACUGGGAGUAAUACCGUAUACGCCCUUUGGGGGAAAGAUUUAUCGGAGAAGGAUUAGCCCGCGUUGGAUUAGGUAGUUGGUGGGGUAAUGGCCUACCAAGCCUACGAUCCAUAGCUGGUUUGAGAGGAUGAUCAGCCACACUGGGACUGAGACACGGCCCAGACUCCUACGGGAGGCAGCAGUGGGGAAUCUUAGACAAUGGGGGCAACCCUGAUCUAGCCAUGCCGCGUGAGUGAUGAAGGCCUUAGGGUUGUAAAGCUCUUUCAGCUGGGAAGAUAAUGACGGUACCAGCAGAAGAAGCCCCGGCUAACUCCGUGCC